AUGAACUUAAGUGGAUUAGUGGCGAACGGGUGAGUAACACGUGAGUAACCUGCCUUACACAAGGGGAUAGCCUCUGGAAACGGAGAAUAAUACCCUAUAAAGUCUAAUCAGCCCAUGCUGGAAAGACCAAAGAUUUAUCGGUGUAAGAUGGACUUGCGUCUGAUUAGCUAGUUGGUGAGAUAAAAGCUCACCAAGGCGACGAUCAGUAGCCGGCUUGAGAGAGUGUACGGCCACAUUGGGACUGAGACACGGCCCAAACUCCUACGGGAGGCAGCAGUGGGGAAUUUUGCACAAUGGGGGAAACCCUGAUGCAGCGACGCCGCGUGAUUUAGAAGGCCUUCGGGUUGUAAAAAUCUUUUUUACGGGAUGAAAAUGACAGUACCGUAAGAAUAAGGUCCGGCUAAAUACGUGCCAGCAGCCGCGGUAAUACGUAUGGACCGAGCGUUGUCCGGAAUCAUUGGGCGUAAAGGGUACGUAGGCGGCCUAGUAAGUUAGAAGUUAUAAGAAUAUAGCUGCAACUGAUGAUAAAGCUGUUUUAAAACUGCUAGGCUUUGAGAGAUGGAAGGGAAAGUGGAAUUCCUAGUGUAGCGGUGAAAUGCGCAGAUAUUAGGAAGAAUACCGGUGGCGAAGGCGACUUUCUGGUCAUCAUCUGACGCUGAGGUACGAAAGCGUGGGUAGCAAACAGGAUUAGAUACCCUGGUAGUCCACGCCGUAAACGAUGAGUGGCUAAGUGGUUAGGGGGUUUCCGCCCCUUAUGUGUCGGCAGCUACGCAUUAAGCA
Molecule: ribosomal RNA, 780 nt
Filed under: uncultured Clostridia bacterium
Lineage: Bacteria; Bacillati; Bacillota; Clostridia
Description: bacterial SSU rRNA
Rfam family: Bacterial small subunit ribosomal RNA
Source: RNAcentral